UCCCAUCAAGCCAAGUUCCCGGAGGAGAUCACCCAGCUCAUCAUGCUAGAGCACUUUUUCAAUGUGCUCCCCAACGACAAGGCGACAACGCAUUCGUAUGUCAAUCCAUAUCAACUUUCGAUGCCAUUUACGUCGCCUACCAUGGUGACCACGGGUAAUGGGGAAUCAGGGUUCGAUUCCGUACAGGGACCCUGACAAACAGCUACCACAUGCAAGGAAGGCAUCAGGCGCGCAAAUGACCCACUCCCGAUGCGGGGAGGUAGUGACGA
This 269-nucleotide ribosomal RNA is filed under the name Pelobates cultripes (western spadefoot toad). RNAcentral describes it as "SSU_rRNA_microsporidia". It matches the Rfam family "Eukaryotic small subunit ribosomal RNA", at positions 212 to 473 of the family's 1831-position model. The record is from RNAcentral. Lineage: Eukaryota; Metazoa; Chordata; Amphibia; Anura; Pelobatidae.